Long non-coding RNA from Anthonomus grandis grandis, 1067 nucleotides. RefSeq lists it as uncharacterized. Lineage: Eukaryota; Metazoa; Arthropoda; Insecta; Coleoptera; Curculionidae. The record is from RefSeq and is a predicted model, not a curated record. The transcript is spliced from 3 exons.
GUCCGACCAAGAGUAAUUAUUAUUACUUAUUUUAUCUUGUCUUGUAAAUUCCAAACACCACUUUAUAUUUACAUUAAUUUAAAUACUUUUAUUUGGUGAACAUGGAUAUAAAUACGGAUAAUAAAUUAAUAUGUGAAGAUUGUGGAAAGUAAUUUUCUUCUACUUCAACAUUAUCGGCAUAUGAGGGAUAUACAUAAUAAAAAACAGAGUGAAAUAGAGAGCAGACACAUUAUUUGCCCCCUUUGCCUGGACAAAGAGAAGUUUACAUCCAUUCAUUAAUAAGAAUCUUUCAUAGUAUUCAUAAUAUACAUAUUGAAGAAUCUGUUUUAAAUUUUAGGAAUUUGGCAGCGUUUGAAGUUUGGAGGUCUCCAGAAAACAGAGAGGUAGAUUAUGCUGUUCACCGAAGAAAGAAAUUGCUAAUGGAGAAGAAUGUAUUUACUAUAAUUGUCAUACAGGUGAUUUAAAAGACAAAGCGCCGUGAUUGGCCCGCAUGGGUGCGGAAAUUAAUGAAUCCUAUUUUUUAUCGUCGAAAUUUGAUAGUAUUGAUCUGGACAACGUUUACUUUUAACAAGACGGCGCUACAUGCCAUACAAGCAACAUUGUUCUCUUACGGGAAAAGUUUCCGGACCGUGUUAUCUUUUGAAGAGGUGAUCUUAAUUAGUUACCGAGAUCUUGUAUUUCAACACCUUGUGAAACCUUCAUUUGGGGCUACGUGAAUGAGAAGGUCUACGCCAACAGCCAAGCGUCAAUUCAAGAUCUCAAAGAAGAGCUUUGUGAGGCUAUCGAGGACAUAUGGCAGACACUUUGCGGUUUUGUUAUGGAAAAUUUCAUAAAAAGGAUAUGGUCUUGUAGGCGUGAUCGUGGUGUUUAUUUGACUGAUGUUAUUUUCCAUUAUUAACGGCAUAUCUUCCUCUUUAUAUUGUAAUAAAUAUCCGAUUAUUUAUCUUAAAAAAUCGAAUUUUUCUUCAAAUAUCAAAAUAACGCAUUUUACUGAACAACCCUUUAUAAUGCGCUCUUUUAUAGGAAUAAGACCUUAUUCCUCAAGAAGGAAGACAUUUGCCACUUGA